This is a transfer RNA of Metschnikowia bicuspidata var. bicuspidata NRRL YB-4993, 71 nucleotides long. It matches the Rfam family "tRNA". From Rfam's summary of the family: Transfer RNA (tRNA) molecules are approximately 80 nucleotides in length. NCBI's taxonomy places the organism in Eukaryota, Fungi, Ascomycota, Pichiomycetes, Serinales, Metschnikowiaceae. The record is from Rfam.
UAGUCUAUAUCUCAAUGGUAGAGAGUAUGAUUGAUAAUCGUAAGAUAUAGGUUCAAUUCCUAUUAGACCAA